This 590-nucleotide long non-coding RNA is filed under the name Mytilus galloprovincialis (Mediterranean mussel). The record is from RNAcentral. Lineage: Eukaryota; Metazoa; Mollusca; Bivalvia; Mytilida; Mytilidae.
UGUUGAUCAUGAAAUUCUAUGUAAAACACUUCAAAUUUAUGGCUUCCAUGAAGAUACUGUUAAAUUUUUUAAAUCAUAUUUGAGUGAAAGAACACAGCAAGUCCAUAUAAAUAAUCAGUUUUCUGAUAAAAAGUUUAUAAAUUUUGGUGUUCCACAGGGCUCAAUACUUGGUCCCAUUUUGUUUGUUUUGUUCAUAAAUGACCUUCCAUUACACAUCAAAAACUGCCAUACAGACUUGUAUGCUGAUGACACAACUAUGCAUACAUCAGGAAAGACUAUUGGUGAUAUGCAAUUAAAAGUACAAGAUGAUCUCCAAUGUGUUGAAAAAUGGUGUCAUGAAAAUAGCAUGUUCAUAAAUUCAGAUAAGACGAAAUGCAUGGUUAUAGGUACAAGACAAAGGCUGCGUUUAAAUCAAGCAGACCCAGUUCUGACUAUUGAGAAUAAUAUUCUUCAAAAAUCAUCAAUUGAAAAACUUUUAGGUGAAAGAAUUGACUCUUAUCUGUCCUGGACAGGCCAUAUUAAUUACUUAUGUUCAUCUAUAUCAUCUAGACUUUAUUUACUCUCUAAAAUCAAGAAAUUUCUAAAUAUUG